Malania oleifera is the source of this 2311-nucleotide long non-coding RNA. RefSeq lists it as uncharacterized. The record is from RefSeq and is a predicted model, not a curated record. The transcript is spliced from 3 exons. NCBI's taxonomy places the organism in Eukaryota, Viridiplantae, Streptophyta, Magnoliopsida, Santalales, Ximeniaceae.
AGAUUGUUUCAAAGAAAUGCUCAUACUAAAACCACUUAUCUGUUCUAUGACUUCAUAAAGACGAUAAAAAGAAGUUAAAAAUCUCGGCAUCCGCUUACAGUGCAAGUGCUCGACAUUUCACUGCUCAACAUUUGAGGCUUCUACUUCGUAUGUUUUAUGUGUGGUGCUCUUCUUUAUCAGUUCCAUACCUCCCUUGACCGAUGGAUCUCUCCCUGCCCUGGUAGUCUUCAGUCUUAAUUGCCAAUUGGUCAAUGUAAUGGUCGUCACUGUCAAUGGAUCAAUGCUUGUUGCCAGUGAUUCCAUUACAGACAGAUAGAUUCACAGAUUGAAUUUGGUAUAUCUGCUUCACAAUUUCAUUCUUCUUUGCUAAGUCACUUUUGGAUCUUUCCCUGUACUGCAAUUUGCACCCCUAGGACACACUCUUUUCGAUCUGUCUUUGCGCCUUAAUCACCUUCAAAGCUGAUUUGAGGUUUUGAUUUCUGAUGAUCUGUAUUUCUUCUGCUAAGUUCAACAUUCUUCUUUUAGCAUAAUCACAGUAGAGCCGAUUAUUCCAAUUCAUCCAAGUUUCUCGUUGGCUCUUGAUGGAGAUAUGCUCAUGUUCAUUCAUUGAACUUUCUUUGUUUGAAGAUUUUUCUUAUCCAAUAUUUCAUUUUCCUGAAAUAAUUGAUUAGACUUCUCUUUGGGAGAGAAACAAGCUGGUGGAAGGCCCACAUACAUGUGAGGGCCUUGAACAGUUGAUUCCAUCAGACUUCAGUGGAAGGAGUCCAAUUCAGCAACUCUGUGCAGUGUGCAAGGCUGGAGUGUUCAUGAUUCAGAGGAUGAGCGGCCAAUACCUUCUUUCUUUGUUACGGAAGGGGACAAGGCAACAUCUUCAAAACAAAACAUGAGAUCCUUUGACAGAAUCAUUUGAUCUUUGUAGCAAUAGCGAUGUGCAUGACAGUUCAACUAAAGGAAAUUCUGAAAAUUCUGUAGAAGAGUUUGAUUCUCAAACCAAAACUUGGUUCAGGAUUCAUGGAGGGGUUAAAGUCAAUUGAAGCAUCAGUUUCUGUCCAGAGAGUCUCUGUUGGCAGGGUUUCAAAAAAUGGUACUUCAGACUCUUGCGGGUUUUCAUCUCCACUGUUGGAUAGUAAUUUGUCCUUCCCCAACUGAGAAAUACAGAUCCAUUGAGAUAAAUUGUGAAGCAAUUGUUGUGACAUCGAACUGUGUAAGCAAACUUGAUCGGAUAUAAUCAGCAUAAAUGUGCCAGUCCCCAAUAACAUUCCUGUAGAUCAUCCAAGUCUCCAAAUUGGGCAGGGGAUGAAGGUCUAUCCCGUCACAAGAUUUGAUGAAACAGCUGAUUCUGCCAUUGAGAUUUGUUUGCCUGAGGACAGUUUAAUAUGGUUCACGAUCCCAUAGUUCCUCAAUGUUCCAGGUUUAUGGCAGCUGAGAAUUCAGUUAAAGAUGAUUUGUUAACAUCAAAUACAACAGUUAAUGUUGCUGACAGAACAUUGCAUUCUGAUGAAAGAUAUACAAUAUACCCACUUUGGAAGGUCCACCAUUUCUGCAUGGUUCUUAUGAUGUCAUGGGUUUGGAGAAUCCUUAUCACAACCUGCACGCACAGGGAUCUCACCCUCUAUUUUUGUCUCGUUCAUUUGAAUCCUGGAGGCCCGAAUUCCAUCCAAUAGGCUCGCAUCAAGAUUGUAUGAGUUCUCAAAUGAAGUCCAUGGAUCUGAAGUAUGGCAAUGACCAUGGUUUUCUGGAAAAUCUGCAUUUGCAUCCUUCCCUACAUGCUCAUGCUGAAGGGAACAGGGUUUGACCAUCCUGUUCACUAAUUGCUGUUACUGACUGAUGCAUAUGCCUCACCAAUUAAAUGAACUGUCAAGAGGUUCACCCUGUUUUCAACCUAUUAAUCAAAUGGCUUUUUCCAUAGAGGAGCUGUACCAAAUGCAAAGCUUUUUGCUGAACUAUCAGCAGCCAGGCUAUUGGGGCAUUGGAUUGCCAAAUCAAGGUAAUGCAUCCAUUGCUGCAUUGAAACUUGGACAAAUCUCCAUAUAGUAACUGCAUCAUUCUCCAGAGUUGGCUGAGGAGGUUUUCUGCUGAUUUUUAAAUUUAUUUUUCUUUUGAUCUUCUAUCACCAUUUUAUUGAGCAAUUCAUAUUUUCUAAUUGUAUGUGCAAUUUCAAAUUGGAUUCAUUUCAUAGGAUGACUGGAGCAUUAUUCAGAGGUUCUAGAUAUGAUAGGAUGAUUGGACUAAUUAUUUAGAGUUUCUAGAUAUGAUAUCUGUAAAUGAUUUUUUCAGCAUCAUUUUUAAUAAUGGCAAUGGUUUUGAUUUU